RNAcentral lists this long non-coding RNA (1420 nucleotides) under Oryzias javanicus (javanese ricefish). RNAcentral describes it as "lncRNA (ENSOJAG00000013204.1)". Lineage: Eukaryota; Metazoa; Chordata; Actinopteri; Beloniformes; Adrianichthyidae. The record is from RNAcentral.
AGAUAAUGGUCAUUUAAGAUUGUCUCUUUUUUUUCUUUAAGAUGUGUUAUAGGAGCAGAAAUAAUAUAAGAAUGUUAUUUUUCUCACUCCUGCUUUCCAGUCAUGAAGAUGGAAAGCAGUGUUCUGAAUAUGUUAGUAUAUUGUGAAAUUCUUCAUGAAAGGAACAAAAUAAACGAAAAGAAAGACAAGUGAAUUCAUCAAAAUGCGAGUCCAGCUGAUCAGAGGAGAAAGACAAUUAUUUGUAACGACCAGCAGCUGUGUCUCCUGCAGGUAGAACUUUUUUAAACUCCUCUUGAUCGAUUGUUUCUCAUCCGGUGUCUGGAAAGAUGGGAGCUCAAUCAUUUGUGGCCCUUUGGCUUUUGUCUAUUUUCCUCAGCAAUGGUUUCUGCUUACCAGUUGCAAGAGAUCAAAAUAAAGCUCCUGCAGAGGUCAAAAGACAAAAAGACUUUGCUUUAACAAACAGCCUUGGUGUUCUACAGUCAAUGGAUUCCAGGUUGCAAAAACUUGUAAAAGAGGUACAACUGGAAACCAAUGAGGUGGAGGCCUUGGCUAAAGUUGCUAAAAACAAACCUGGUUGGACUGUGUUGAGCAACCAGACUGUGUCCGACGCCGCCAGCAACCAGACUGUGUCCGACGCCGCCAGCAACCAGACUGUGUCCGACGCCGCCAGCACCAGACUGUGUCCGACGCCGCCAGCAACCAGACUGUGUCCGACGCCGCCAGCAACCAGACUGUGUCCGACGCCGCCAGCAACCAGACUGUGUCCGACGCCGCCAGCAACCAGACUGUGUCCGACGCCGCCAGCAACCAGACUGUGUUCGACGCCGCCAGCAACCAGACUGUGUCCGACGCCGCCAGCAACCAGACUGUGUCCGACGCCGCCAGCAACCAGACUGUGUCCGACGCCGCCAGCAACCAGACUGUGUCCGACGCCGCCAGCAACCAGACUGUGUCCGACGCCGCCAGCAAGACACUGUGUCCGACGCCGCCAGCAACCAGACUGUGUCCGACGCCGCAGCAACCAGACUGUGUCCGACGCCCGCCAGCAACCAGACUGUGUCCGACGCCGCCAGCAACCAGACUGUGUCCGACGCCGCCAGCAACCAGACUGUGUCCGACGCGCCAGCAACCAGACUGUGUCCGACGCCCGCAACCAGCACUGUGUCCGACGCCGCCAGCAACCAGACUGUGUCCGACGCCGCCAGCACCAGACUGUGUCCGACGCCGCCAGCAACCAGACUGUGUCCGACGCCGCCAGCAACCAGACUGUGUCCGACGCCGCCAGCAACCAGACUGUGUCCGAAUAAACAUUAUUUUGUUAGCUUUAAGGGUUUUGCUUGUCUUUUUGCCACUUCUGGGUAUCUUCCCCAAUUCCUUUGGUUACAUUUUAAAAUUUGAAUAGACUUAUCAAAUCAAAAGA